ACUCAAAUGAAUAGACGGGGGCCCGCACAAGUGGUGGAGCAUGUGGUUUAAUUCGACGCUACGCGAAGAACCUUACCCGGGUUUGAAUUGCAAUGGUUGUAGUCAGCAGAGAUGUUGGCGACCCCGCAAGGGGGCUGUUGUGAAGGUGCUGCAUGGCUGUCGUCAGCUCGUGCCGUGAGGUGUUGGGUUAAGUCCCGCAACGAGCGCAACCCUUGUCCUUAGUUGCCAGCGCGUAAUGGCGGGCACUCUGUGGAGACUGCCGUCAUAAGACGGAGGAAGGUGGGGAUGACGUCAAGUCAGCAUGGCCCUUACGUCCGGGGCUACACACGUGCUACAAUGGCCGGUACAACGGGCAGCGAGACCGCGAGGUGGAGCGAAUCCCUUUAAAGCCGGCCUCAGUUCGGAUUGCAGGCUGCAACUCGCCUGCAUGAAGUUGGAAUCACUAGUAACCGCAGAUCAGCUACGCUGCGGUGAAUGCGUUCCCGGGCCUUGUACACACCGCCCGU
RNAcentral lists this ribosomal RNA (506 nucleotides) under uncultured bacterium. Its description in RNAcentral is "partial 16S ribosomal RNA". It matches the Rfam family "Bacterial small subunit ribosomal RNA", at positions 899 to 1397 of the family's 1533-position model. The record is from RNAcentral.